This 277-nucleotide unclassified non-coding RNA is filed under the name uncultured fungus. RNAcentral's name for it is "partial contains 18S rRNA, ITS1, 5.8S rRNA, ITS2 and 28S rRNA". The record is from RNAcentral. Lineage: Eukaryota; Fungi.
AAGGAUCAUUAACACGAAAUUUUAUAUUUCUUAUCCAAUAUCAAAAACCAAACGUGAACAUUUCUCCUCCCUAUAUAUAUAUCUCGAUAUAUAUAUAGGCUAAACCCCUUUUUUAAUAUUUUAACCCCUUUAAACUUAACUUGUUUCAUUCACUUUGAAACAGCUAAACACUAAAGAAAAAUUGAGUUAUUCGAAAGAGUAUACUUCAUAAUUUUUUUUUCGAUUUACGAAAUAAUAAUUAAAAGAACAACUCUUAACAAUGGAUAUCUUGGUUCUC